CCGCAGACACAAGUCAACUCGACCCUUCUGGGACCGACGCUCAGCGCCCGAGACCAUCUACAAACUAAAAUGUCUGGUUUGGAGUUUUUUCUAUUCUGUGGGUUCCUAUUAAUCACCCCUGUGAUAUGCUCAGAUUCCACAGAACCACCACAAUAUCUUUGGGGUCCUUGGCACCACCCGCCCACAUUGGCACCUUUUUCGGCGGCCUCGCCCGCCUCACCCAGGGUUUACACCAUCAAUCAAACAGUCCUUGAUUAUGCUAAUUGCCAUGGCUAUCCUAGUAGGGCUUGUGGUUAUUAAAUGCUUGUUAGAUCGCCUCAUACAAACUCAGCAGCAGGUUAAGAUCACAGCUAUGGCAGCCAUGCAAAUGGCAGCAGGUAGCCCAUCAGGCCAGCAGGCCGCCGCAUAUCUCCUUCACAUUGCAGAACAUCAGCUAUAAGAGCUGAGUGGGCAAGCCAAUGACGGGCUCCACUCAGAUAUAUAUGGCCUAUAAGGCCAGGGGUCCCUCCCGGAGUCAAAUUAUUGGCAUUGAGAUGCGAGACCAAGGGUACUGCAGUGCCAUCCGCCUCAAAGUUUGGGGGGAAGGCAGGAAUGAAUGUCUAUAUGCAUCCAGGUUCGGUUCACAAAAGCCUGGCCCUGCGAAAAAAUGAACCACUCACCUUGAGCAUGGUCCUGGCGCAAGGAUAUGCACAAAACAGGGUGAUGCACAGCAGGGUAUAGACCUCUACAUUCUCUCAUGCCUCGGCCUACAAGGUAGGCCCACUCCUAGGUGUCUAACAGCAACAAGGUCAUAGACACCUUGGAGGGACCCACAGACCAUCCUAUUUUAAUAAAUAAAAAAGGGGGAGAUGUGGGAAGCCGCCUAUGAAUGGUGCCCAUUUCCUGCUUCCGGGUUCUUCCCGGCCUGAACAAGCCCGCCAAAUUGUCAUAUCUGCCCAGUUACCCGUGACGCUAGCCUAUCAGCUUGUUAGGCGCGCUUCUCUGUGAUUGGAUACUGCUUCCCCUUAUAAGAGGUUGUUCCUGCCCCCAACGGCGGAAGAGGAACCAACGUUGAGGGUGGCGGACCUUGUCAGGUCCGGUUCGCUGUACGUAAUAAAGUUUGAGAGCUGA
Molecule: long non-coding RNA, 1110 nt
Organism: Cavia porcellus (domestic guinea pig)
Lineage: Eukaryota; Metazoa; Chordata; Mammalia; Rodentia; Caviidae
Exons: 2
Source: RefSeq, a predicted model, not a curated record